Molecule: long non-coding RNA, 754 nt
Organism: Xenopus laevis (African clawed frog)
Lineage: Eukaryota; Metazoa; Chordata; Amphibia; Anura; Pipidae
Exons: 5
Source: RefSeq, a predicted model, not a curated record
AAAUGAGGGACUGCAGGUUGAGCUGUCAAAAGAGGGACCUCUAAAAACAGGACAGUUGGGAGAGAAGACGGGGAAUUGGAAGAGGGUGAAGUACAAGAUUUAGGUGUAGAAGAGAAGCCUCGAGAAAUAAGGAAAUAGAAGACCAACGGGAAGUCCACAAAGAGAAAAGAAAGGCCAAAAAAGAAAGGAAAACAUCACAGACAAGAGAAACACAGGCAUAACGUUCCUGAAAGUGAUAACAGCUCAGAGUACAGUGGUGAUUCUGAUACAGAGCAUGGAGAAAGGUCACACAAAGAUACUAUGUACAGAGAUUAUGAUGUUCAAUAUUCACAGCAUGGACCAGGGAGCUAUAUUACAUCCCCAAAGCAUAAGAAAAAUGCAAAUGAUUAUGAUGGUAAUAGUAACUACAGUGAUGGUAACUACAAUGAGGAAGAAGAAGAAGAUUUUGCUGAAUAGCUGAAACACUACAGACAAGCAAAGGAGAACACAAAUGUGGCUGAACUACAAUGUGAAAGGAAUUUAGCAAGGUAAAUGUAUUGAAACAUACAUCAAUGAAGAAUUGUUGCCACUUAUUACAGACAUGCUGUUUUUAGUCUUCACAAGCGCUUCACGUAGGGGGUAGCAUCCAGAUGAAUAUAAUCAGCGGUGGAGCCGAAGAAUAAAUUAAAAGUUCAACUUUAUUCAAUCCCUUUAAAAUAGUAUAUACAAGCGUGCACAGUAUGCAAUUGGCAAUAAAGAGUCGCAUAUGAGUUAA